UUGAACGCUGGCGGCAGGCCUAACACAUGCAAGUCGAACGGUAACAGGAAGCAGCUUGCUGCUUUGCUGACGAGUGGCGGACGGGUGAGUAAUGUCUGGGAAACUGCCUGAUGGAGGGGGAUAACUACUGGAAACGGUGGCUAAUACCGCAUAACGUCGCAAGACCAAAGAGGGGGACCUUCGGGCCUCUUGCCAUCAGAUGUGCCCAGAUGGGAUUAGCUUGUUGGUGAGGUAACGGCUCACCAAGGCGACGAUCCCUAGCUGGUCUGAGAGGAUGACCAGCCACACUGGAACUGAGACACGGUCCAGACUCCUACGGGAGGCAGCAGUGGGGAAUAUUGCACAAUGGGCGCAAGCCUGAUGCAGCCAUGCCGCGUGUAUGAAGAAGGCCUUCGGGUUGUAAAGUACUUUCAGCGGGGAGGAAGGUGUUGYGGUUAAUAACCGCAGCAAUUGACGUUACCCGCAGAAGAAGCACCGGCUAACUCCGU
RNAcentral lists this ribosomal RNA (488 nucleotides) under Salmonella enterica subsp. enterica serovar London. RNAcentral describes it as "bacterial SSU rRNA". It matches the Rfam family "Bacterial small subunit ribosomal RNA", at positions 30 to 506 of the family's 1533-position model. Lineage: Bacteria; Pseudomonadati; Pseudomonadota; Gammaproteobacteria; Enterobacterales; Enterobacteriaceae. The record is from RNAcentral.